RNAcentral lists this ribosomal RNA (497 nucleotides) under uncultured bacterium. RNAcentral describes it as "partial 16S ribosomal RNA". It matches the Rfam family "Bacterial small subunit ribosomal RNA", at positions 28 to 507 of the family's 1533-position model. The record is from RNAcentral.
GACGAACGCUGGCGGCGUGCCUAAUACAUGCAAGUAGAACGCUGAAGCGAGGAGCUUGCUCUUCUUGGAUUAGUUGCGAACGGGUGAGUAACGCGUAGGUAACCUGCCUUGUAGCGGGGGAUAACUAUUGGAAACGGUAGCUAAUACCGCAUAACAAUGUAUGACACAUGGCAUUUAUUUGAAAGGCGCAAUUGUUCCACUACAAGAAGGACCUGCGUUUGCUUAGCUAGUAGGUGAGGUAAAGGGCCAACUAGGCGAAGGUACAUUGCCGACCUGGGAGGGUGGUCGGCCACACUGGGAACGGGACACGGCCCAGACUUCCUCGGGGAGCAGCAGUAGGGAAUCUUCGGCAAUGGGGGGAACCCUGGCCGGGGAAAGCCGGCGGGGUGAAGGAGGGUUUCGGGUCGUUAAGCUCUGUUGUAAAGCGAGAAAGGUAGGGAGAGUUGAAUGUGCACACUGUGACGGUAGCUUACCAGAAAGGGACGGCUAACUACGUG